UUUGUUACAAAAAUAAAAAUAAAAUUUUUAUUAUAUCUCAAAUUAUUAAGAAUAUAAUCUAAACACGCGUAAUAAAGACCUGAUUACAAUUAUCAUAAUUUUAUCAGCGGUGAAUUCCUGUUUUUAUCAGCGUGCGAGUGUCUUUAAAACAAAAUUAUUAAGAAUGAGUUUUAUGCAACAUGGAGGGGCCCGACUGAGUACUCUUUCACAUUUUGGACAAAGCAACGAAUUUUCCUAUUUAAGUUGUACUUCACACUUUCACACGCGCACCAAAAGGACGUUGGCUUCUUAUCUUAACCUUCACCCCAUCGCCGACAAUGUGCACGUUAGAGAAGCGAGGCAGUUUAUUCAUUUUGACAUUCAUCGGUGACGGGGAGCAUAGGCUGAGCCCUACUCUCAUAGAUUCGGUGCUAUCGGCUCUCUGCGAAGUCAAAUCCAAGGCCACUCGCGGCUCAGUUCUUAUCACCACAUCCCAAGGCAAGUUCUUCUCCAAUGGCUUCGAUCUUGCCUGGGCCAAAGCCGCUGGAUCCAGUUCUAAAGCCAUGGAACGCCUCCACCACAUGGUCGUCUCCUUCAAGCCGGUCGUCGCUGAGUUGAUAUCCCUCCCUAUGCCCACGGUGGCAGCCAUCCAGG
RNAcentral lists this unclassified non-coding RNA (633 nucleotides) under Hevea brasiliensis (rubber tree). The record is from RNAcentral. Lineage: Eukaryota; Viridiplantae; Streptophyta; Magnoliopsida; Malpighiales; Euphorbiaceae.